AGUGAACGCUGGCGGUAGGCCUAACACAUGCAAGUCGAACGGCAGCACAGUAAGAGCUUGCUCUUACGGGUGGCGAGUGGCGGACGGGUGAGGAAUACAUCGGAAUCUACUUUUUCGUGGGGGAUAACGUAGGGAAACUUACGCUAAUACCGCAUACGACCUACGGGUGAAAGCAGGGGAUCUUCGGACCUUGCGCGAUUGAAUGAGCCGAUGUCGGAUUAGCUAGUUGGCGGGGUAAAGGCCCACCAAGGCGACGAUCCGUAGCUGGUCUGAGAGGAUGAUCAGCCACACUGGAACUGAGACACGGUCCAGACUCCUACGGGAGGCAGCAGUGGGGAAUAUUGGACAAUGGGCGCAAGCCUGAUCCAGUCAUACCGCGUGGGUGAAGAAGGCCUUCGGGUUGUAAAGCCCUUUUGUUGGGAAAGAAAAGCAUCAGGUUAAUACCCCGCUGUUCUGACGGUACCCAAAGAAUAAGCACCGGCUAACUUCGUG
This 492-nucleotide ribosomal RNA is filed under the name uncultured bacterium. RNAcentral's name for it is "partial 16S ribosomal RNA". It matches the Rfam family "Bacterial small subunit ribosomal RNA", at positions 29 to 507 of the family's 1533-position model. The record is from RNAcentral.